RNAcentral lists this signal recognition particle RNA (299 nucleotides) under Cebus imitator (Panamanian white-faced capuchin). Its description in RNAcentral is "Metazoan signal recognition particle RNA (ENSCCAG00000004841.1)". It matches the Rfam family "Metazoan signal recognition particle RNA". From Rfam's summary of the family: The signal recognition particle (SRP) is a universally conserved ribonucleoprotein. It is involved in the co-translational targeting of proteins to membranes. Lineage: Eukaryota; Metazoa; Chordata; Mammalia; Primates; Cebidae. The record is from RNAcentral.
UCCAGGCGCAGUGGCACAUGCCUGUAGUCCCAGCUACUUGGGAGGCUGAGGCUGGAGGAUCGCUUGAGUCCAGGAGUUCUGGGCUGUAACGCACUAUGCUGAUCAGUUGUCUGCACUAAGUUCGGCAUCAAUAUGGUGAUCUCCAGGGAGAGGGGGACCACCAGGUUGCCUAAAGAGGGGUGAACCAGCCCAGGUCAGAAAUGAAGCAGGUCAAAACUCCCGUGCUGAUCAGUAGUGGGAUAGUGCCCAUGAAUAGCCACUGUACUCCAGCCUGGGCAACAUAGCCAGACCCCAUCUCU